GCUUCAGUGGCCUAAUGGUUAGAGCAUUCACAUUGGAUGUGGAAGGUUGUGGGUUUGAUCCCCGGUUGAGUCA
Molecule: non-coding RNA, 73 nt
Organism: Potamilus streckersoni
Lineage: Eukaryota; Metazoa; Mollusca; Bivalvia; Unionida; Unionidae
Source: the annotation of a GenBank genome assembly